RNAcentral lists this long non-coding RNA (224 nucleotides) under Sorghum bicolor (sorghum). Its description in RNAcentral is "long non-coding RNA (SBIC_LNC003395)". Lineage: Eukaryota; Viridiplantae; Streptophyta; Magnoliopsida; Poales; Poaceae. The record is from RNAcentral.
AAUCGCAAGCUUAAGACAAUGAUCUCGGCAUCCACUACAAGGCUCAAGUUCAUCCAUAAGUGCAAUUGGAAGCAGUCUCGAUACCUUGACGUAGGACAGUACAGACCCAUCUCGAUCUUUUCUUUUCACUUAGCUUGAUUUUCAAUUUUUAGCACAAGAUUUUGCAAGUUGUCCAAGCAAGUGUAUAACUCAAAGCAUGAGACAUAGCAACCUAGCAUAUAAAA